ACAUCAUUAUUUGGUAUAUGGUGCUAUAUAUGCUCAAAUGUGUCUCACAGUUGCAUACAAUUCUUUUCUUAUCUUGUGUAGAAGAUCCUCGUGAACACAUGGGGAUGAAAUAAAUUGGUCUCAGAGGAGGUUUCAAUGCGUUCAAUUGCGUGGAUAAACCUGUCGUUGGAUGAGUUUCAUCUUGAUAAAGAAUGAGACUAGCCUAAAACAAAGCAUGGGGAUUGAUGAAAUGUAACAUUUAAAAGUUCCAAAAUGAUCUAAUCCAUAAAGUAGAUAUUGAUUCCUUCCAAAUGAAAGCAUCUAAAUGCCCCUUAACCGUCAAGCAAAAUUGUCUUGUAGGAGGCAAGGGAAUUUAAAAACCAUGCACUUUCGAUUGACAUUUUGUGCACUUAUAUUCCCCGUCGUUGUCGUCUAGGUUGUAGAUUUUCAAAGAAUUCCUCGUCAACUCAUCAUCAUGUUGCCAGCCCUCGGUUUUGUGGUGGAAAAAUGGAACCGCAUGGAGCGGCUACGUACGCAUGACGUGGGCCUCUCAUGUGAUGGCUGGUUGGCCCUUUUGUUUAUUCCCAUGCGUCCAAUAUCUAGCUCCAAUCAGAAUAUCGUAUCCAGAAAACAUCAAACUAUUUAGACAAAAGUAACAUAAGAAGCUGCCUUUUUUUUUUCUAAAAAAACAUAAGAAGCUGCUAAUUUAACUAAUUAAAAAAUUGGACAUGCAUGUGUGUGUGCAUGAUAACUGCGAAUUAGAUGGAUUCUUUUUUGUGUGUG
This 762-nucleotide long non-coding RNA is filed under the name Sorghum bicolor (sorghum). RNAcentral's name for it is "long non-coding RNA (SBIC_LNC006059)". The record is from RNAcentral. Lineage: Eukaryota; Viridiplantae; Streptophyta; Magnoliopsida; Poales; Poaceae.